Molecule: ribosomal RNA, 545 nt
Filed under: uncultured bacterium
Lineage: Bacteria
Description: bacterial SSU rRNA
Rfam family: Bacterial small subunit ribosomal RNA
Source: RNAcentral
AGAAUAGACUACCCGGGUAGUCCACGCCCUAAACGAUGCGAACUGGAUGUUGGGUACAUUACGGUACUCAGUGUCGAAGCUAACGCGUUAAGUUCGCCGCCUGGGGAGUACGGUCGCAAGACUGAAACUCAAAGGAAUUGACGGGGGCCCGCACAAGCGGUGGAGUAUGUGGUUUAAUUCGAUGCAACGCGAAGAACCUUACCUGGCCUUGACAUCUGUCGAAUCCUGCAGAGAUGCGGGAGUGCCGCAAGGAACGACAAGACAGGUGCUGCAUGGCUGUCGUCAGCUCGUGUCGUGAGAUGUUGGGUUAAGUCCCGCAACGAGCGCAACCCUUGUCCCUAGUUGCCAGCACGUAAUGGUGGGAACUCUAGGGAGACUGCCGGUGACAAACCGGGAGGAAGGUGGGGAUGACGUCAAGUCCUCAUGGCCCUUACGGCCAGGGCUACACACGUACUACAAUGGUCGGUACAGAGGGUUGCGAAGCCGCGAGGUGGAGGCCAAUCCCAGAAAACCGAUCCCAGUCCGGAUCGGAGUCUGCAACUCCG